This 575-nucleotide long non-coding RNA is filed under the name Brachypodium distachyon (stiff brome). RNAcentral's name for it is "long non-coding RNA (BDIS_LNC001075)". The record is from RNAcentral. Lineage: Eukaryota; Viridiplantae; Streptophyta; Magnoliopsida; Poales; Poaceae.
GCGAAGCAGUAGGGACGGAUGAUUCUUCAACAUUAGGUCUUGGGUCCGGUAAUAUAUAAUUUCACUCUACCAAAGGCUACGGGAUAAUGGCGCCAAAGUUUUAGAGGCACGUACAUUCACUCCUCUCUUUCUUUCUUUUUUACUUUGUUUCUAACUACUGUAAGGCCAGGUGUGAGUUAAUUUCCACCCUUUUUCUUUUUGAGAAUAAGUUAAUUUCCACGGUUUUUUUUAGAGGCGUUAAUUUCCACAGUUAGGCAGACCCUAGAAUUUCUCGGCUCACUUGCGAAGGUUCAGCCUAGUUAGGAAGCCCAAAUCCUCCUUCUAGACUGCCACGUACCGGCCCACUGCCCCACCGCAUCAGUUCCCAGUACUCUUUCUAACCCAGACGGCGAGGCUGUACUCCAGUUUCUAACCUAGACUCCACUCCAGUUCCCCAGUCUCGUCCAAAUUGGGAAUCAAGUCUCGUCCAAUUCGGGAAGCCACAGUCUCCUCCUCGUCUUCUCCGAUGCAGCCCUGAUCUCGCCGCCGCCCGCACGCUUGCUCGCGGGCGCUCCCCUGGUAAGCCCCUUACUUGC